GUAGUCGUGGCCGAGUGGUUAAGGCGACAGACUCGAAAUCUGUUGGGAUAUUCCCGCGCAGAUUCAAAUCCUGCCGACUACG
RNAcentral lists this transfer RNA (82 nucleotides) under Dendronephthya gigantea. RNAcentral describes it as "tRNA-Ser". It matches the Rfam family "tRNA". From Rfam's summary of the family: Transfer RNA (tRNA) molecules are approximately 80 nucleotides in length. Their secondary structure includes four short double-helical elements and three loops (D, anti-codon, and T loops). Further hydrogen bonds mediate the characteristic L-shaped molecular structure. tRNAs have two regions of fundamental functional importance: the anti-codon, which is responsible for specific mRNA codon recognition, and the 3' end, to which the tRNAs corresponding amino acid is attached (by aminoacyl-tRNA synthetases). tRNAs cope with the degeneracy of the genetic code in two manners: having more than one tRNA (with a specific anti-codon) for a particular amino acid; and 'wobble' base-pairing, i.e. permitting non-standard base-pairing at the 3rd anti-codon position. Lineage: Eukaryota; Metazoa; Cnidaria; Anthozoa; Malacalcyonacea; Nephtheidae. The record is from RNAcentral.